RNAcentral lists this non-coding RNA (85 nucleotides) under Neobacillus vireti. RNAcentral's name for it is "Bacillus vireti c-di-GMP sequence". It matches the Rfam family "c-di-GMP-I riboswitch aptamer". From Rfam's summary of the family: GEMM was predicted in a large-scale screen for bacterial structured RNA regulatory elements. Genes associated with GEMM are involved in a diverse array of functions, including chemotaxis regulation, signal transduction, secretion and chitin. RNAcentral also lists the same sequence under 1 other name. The record is from RNAcentral. Lineage: Bacteria; Bacillati; Bacillota; Bacilli; Caryophanales; Bacillaceae.
CGUACGAAACGGCAAAACCAUUGAAAAAUGGUGACGCAAAACUAGAGGGGCUAAUGUUUAACGACGAUGCUAGCCAGUUGCCGAA